This is a long non-coding RNA of Mus musculus (house mouse), 377 nucleotides long. RefSeq annotates it as predicted gene, 54123. The record is from RefSeq and is a predicted model, not a curated record. The transcript is spliced from 3 exons. Lineage: Eukaryota; Metazoa; Chordata; Mammalia; Rodentia; Muridae.
UUCUUACUGCCAAUCCUUGAUUGGAAGCACUUCCAUUUCAGAGCCAGAUGUCUGUCUGACACUGUCUGCAGACCACUUUGAAUGCAUUGAAGCUUCACUGAGCUAAAUUGAUCAUAUACUGGAAGGAAGAAAAUUGAUUAUACUCACGCCAGUGGUCCUAAGAAGACAUAAAGACAAGAGUUGAGAAAGCAGAGAUGUGAGAUAAAGACGGAGCGAGGAGGAGAGACCCUGAAAGAUGAUGGACGUUCAAUACACAUCUCAGCGAAUAUGUACUUAUACGAUGAACAUGCCCUUGUGAGUGCGCCAGAGACUUUCCCAGAGUGGUUGAAUUCUUUCCACGUGAACCUGAUAUAGUAUUAUCUCAUGACAGCAUCCAG